UGGAAGGGAGAAUAUCCAGGA
RNAcentral lists this microRNA (21 nucleotides) under Solanum lycopersicum (tomato). RNAcentral's name for it is "sly-miR6022". RNAcentral also lists the same sequence under 1 other name. The record is from miRBase by way of RNAcentral. Lineage: Eukaryota; Viridiplantae; Streptophyta; Magnoliopsida; Solanales; Solanaceae.